This 467-nucleotide ribosomal RNA is filed under the name uncultured bacterium. RNAcentral's name for it is "partial 16S ribosomal RNA". It matches the Rfam family "Bacterial small subunit ribosomal RNA", at positions 28 to 507 of the family's 1533-position model. The record is from RNAcentral.
GACGAACGCUGGCGGCGUGCUUAACACAUGCAAGUCGAACGAUGACGACCGAGCUUGCUCGGUUUGAUUAGUGGCGAACGGGUGAGUAACACGUGAGUAACCUGCCCUUCACUCUGGGAUAACCUCGGGAAAUCGGGGCUAAUACCGGAUAUGAGCUCCUGCCGCAUGGCGGGUGUUGGAAAGUUUUUCGGUGUAGGAUGGGCUCGCGGCCUAUCAGUUUGUUGGUGAGGUAGUGGCUCACCAAGGCGAUGACGGGUAGCCGGCCUGAGAGGGCGACCGGCCACACUGGGACUGAGAUACGGCCCAGACUCCUACGGGAGGCAGCAGUGGGGAAUAUUGCACAAUGGGCGAAAGCCUGAUGCAGCAACGCCGCGUGAGGGAUGACGGCCUUCGGGUUGUAAACCGCUUUCAGCAGGGAAGAAGCGAAAGUGACGGUAACGGGAGAAGAAGCGCCGGCUAACUACGUG